This 300-nucleotide ribosomal RNA is filed under the name uncultured bacterium. Its description in RNAcentral is "bacterial SSU rRNA". It matches the Rfam family "Bacterial small subunit ribosomal RNA", at positions 334 to 651 of the family's 1533-position model. The record is from RNAcentral.
UUUCCCUACGGGGGGCAGCAGUGGGGAAUAUUGCACAAUGGGGGAAACCCUGAUGCAGCGAUGCCGCGUGGAGGAAGAAGGUUUUCGGAUUGUAAACUCCUUUUAUCAGGGACGAUAAUGACGGUACCUGAAGAAAAAGCUCCGGCUAACUACGUGCCAGCAGCCGCGGUAAUACGUAGGGGGCAAGCGUUAUCCGGAAUUACUGGGUGUAAAGGGAGCGUAGACGGUUAAGUAAGUCUGGAGUGAAAGGCCGGGGCCCAACCCCGGGGCUGCUCUGGAAACUAUUGUACUUGAUUGCAG